Molecule: long non-coding RNA, 1991 nt
Organism: Sceloporus undulatus (fence lizard)
Lineage: Eukaryota; Metazoa; Chordata; Lepidosauria; Squamata; Phrynosomatidae
Exons: 2
Source: RefSeq, a predicted model, not a curated record
ACAAUUUUGGCAUGAAUAUGAAUGUGUACAAAACCAAAAUUGCUUGAAGCCAAGAAGGUUUUUGCUCAGUGACUGGGACUUUCAACCUUGUGUUGACAUUUGGGGCCCAGCUUUGCUUCCAGUGAGCAAGGUGGAAAUGUUGACACUCUUUCCAGGAGAAACAGGCUGAGAUCCCGGAAGCAAAAGAGACAGUACUUUGUAAUAAAUGCACAAAACCAGAAGCAACAGGCUCGUUUAGUAUCAGUAAAGGUCAGUUAAAAUUAUAGAGACAUCCUUUGGAGCAAAUCCUCUGCCUUGUAUUUGCAUAUUUAUGAACUAGAGAUUAUGACAGCCUAUUCCAUUUAUUAGAGCAGCGAUGCUAUACUUAAUAGUCUGUCAGCAUUUCCAUUAUAAACCCCCUUUUUUCAGGGUUUUAAUAUCCCAGCCACUUAAAAUCACGACAAGCAAGCAAGUCACUUUUGUUAGGCCAGGUGUUUGUUUUUAUUUCAUUUAAAAUUAAAAUCGAUUUAAAGGAGUUUGGUUCUUUAUGACUUGGAAGAUAAAGCAAAAGAUGAAAGAUGACAGGAAGUUUCUGUAACUACUUCAUGUUCCCUUUACUGUCAGUGGUGUUCAUGGACCCAAAUGUUUUGAAACCAUUACUUUUGAGGACUUCAUCUCCCCAGAAUCUGCCAGGUCCUACUGGCUGGGAGAUUUGUAGUAAAAUAAAAUAACGUUUGCAAGCUGUGGCCUGGAGGGAACAGUAGAAUUAAGAAGUUAUAAACCAACCCUUUGUCAAACUGCAUGAAAUUUGGGUUGGUUGGUUGGUUGGUUUUUAGCUAACAGUCUUUGCGCUUCCUUUUUAAAUCCAUUUUUGUAUUGGAAGGCUAACCCAGUAUAAAUCAUUUGAAGUCUAUGGGUAACAUUAUCUAUAAUUUAAACCACAGAUCAGUUAAUCUGGAGAAUUUGAUUUCAAACCCAUUGGUUUUAAUGACAGAAACAGUGUGAUACUAUGAGUUUAGUGGGACAUUACCAAGCUAACAGAUAUAGGUUUCAGGCUAAACCCAAUUAUGUUUGCUGGAUUGACUGUUUUGUGGGUCAACUUUCCUGAGGGGAAAAGAAAUCUUGUUCUGUGAAAAGAACCCUUGGUUGCCAUCCUAACCCCACUGAUGUCUACGGUACUUUAUGGACAAGACUUUUAUUAGGCAAUCAUCCUUCCUCAUUCACAGAGUUUUAGGAGAGUCCAGACCAGAAUUAGAAAGUUCUUUUUUAGACUGCAACUCUCAGUGGACAUGCUGGCUGGGGAUUCUGGGAGCUGCUGUCCACAAAGUAGUUUUUUCAGGCCCUUGUCCAGACAACACCAUCUCCCAUCAGUAACCUCGCUUUCCUUCCACAUCUUCCACCCUCUUUAAUAAGAAAAAACUCCAAAGGCGAGAAAGUCAGAGUAGAUGCCCAGGGCCUUUGGUUAUUCAUGCUACGAGCCUUCUGGCUGGAGACACUUUCAAUUAAAUGGUUAUAUGCCUAUCUAGCAAUAAUUUUUUCUGGCUUUGCUAGAACAGGUAUUUAAUAUGGUUUGCCUUUACGAUUCUCACCUUUGUAUUUGUUGCAUGUGUCCCCUUUUUUUACUUUUGGCGACACUGAGGAAAACAGACGACAGGGUUUUAUUGGCAAGAUUUGUUCAGAGGGGAGGCUGACUUUGCCUCCCUCUGAGACUGAGAGUGUGACUUGCCCAAGGAUACCCUGUGGAUUUCCAUGACUCUGAUCUCCUGAGUCGUAAUCCAAUUCUCAAACCACUACACCAUGCUGAUUCUCAACUAUUUAACCAAAAAUUAUUAUUAGAAUCCAAGAGAUGCCUAUGCUGGGUAGCUGUAGACUUUUGCAGGUGUAGUACAGCAUUGUGUCCAAUAUUGGCAAACCCAAUGCUUCUGGAAAGCCAAGCAAAAUGGAGACUACUUCAUCUCUUGUUCCUUCCCUUAGCAAUACCUAAAGAUAAUAAAGAUUUGAGUGUGAGCAUA